GAUUUAGUUGUGUAUGCAUUUGAAUUUGUGAAUUCUGAAUUUAUCUUUUUGGGUGGUUGUGGUGGUUUUUACAUGAGAGAGCUACUCUUUUGUGUUUAACUUGGCAUCAAGUAUCUUCGUAUGAAUUUCAGUUACACAUUUGAAUCGAUUUGUUGAGAUGUCAAAUUUCCCGGUAGAAAGUCCAAUUGACAAUACUAAUAAAAGAUUUAGCUAUCAUCCCAUGGAUGCUUUCCAGUGGGACUCUCUGACUUGGCGACAUACAUCGAACUACUAGGAUAAGGGAAUACCCAUUUGGACUUUGCUUCAAAAUGAAGCUUUGAAGAUUUACCACUUUCCAAAAUCAUCCUACAAUAACAUUCAUACUUUCUGUUAUCAAACUGAGAAAAUUGCGCGGGCAUUUCUCCUCGCAGUUUUCAAAUGCCCUGGGAAUUUGACAAUGGAGACAACCGGACAAUCAACUGUCAUUUUGGACAGUUUGACUCUUGAUUUCCCAGUCACCUAACCCGUCUUAAUACUAUAGUCAUGCUUACAUUUUCUUUACAUUGCACAACAACUAUGUCUUUUUGGAACUUUUUCCAUAUGUUCUGUUGGAUGUCUUGACAACGCAUCAGUUUGGAGUCUGUUGUUUCAGACUUCCCAAUUUACACACAUGUAGAGAUGGAAUUAGUUGUCGAUAAGAAGAUUAGUUAUAGAAAUUGUCUGUGAAUAUUCAUCUUGUGGUUCUUUUCUAUUGUUUUUGCCCUUUGUAAAUUGUGUUCGUUGUUAUUUGUCUGCUUAUCUUGAUUUCUUAUUUGCACCUGCAGAGGCUUCACAACUUCUCAAUUGGUAAAUUUCUAAAGACUUGCACUGCUCAUUCUCCGGAGAAACCUUUUGAUUCAGACAAUUUGCUUCUAAACUUUGGGAUUGUUAACCUCUUGUGCUUCGCAAAUAUCUCCAAAAUCAGAGAACUACCACAGCCAACAGUUGCCAGCACAUAAAUGCUCACUCAACAAGCAACAAACUCAGAAUUGUCAAAAUAGUGAACUUACCGACAUCAGAUCACAAGGUUGAGUAUGUAAAUGUACAAGGUAUCAUUGACGUUGCUGACUUCAACCAAAAAUUCAUAUGCUUCGUCUGUUCGAUCUGUAAUAAGAGCACAAAUGCAUAUGGAAAUGGUGACUUUUGGUGCGACUAUUGCAAUCAAAAAGUAGCGACACUUCCCGGGUACAUUUAUUGCAACUGUAUUCACAGAAAAAGCAGAAGCUCUGUAUGAUGUUACUGCAACAGAACUCACCCAACAUGCAGCGAGCGUAAGCUACCAAAAAUCUAAUCCAUCUUUCCCUCAAUAUUUACAGCACAUACACGAACUACCACUAAUCCAAACAAAUACAUAGGGAAAUCUGCCAAUAGCAUUGAUUGAAAAGCUAUCCCGCCCAAAAAAGGGUUGCGUCAGUUUGAAGGCCUACAUGUAUCGCUAUGGAGGAAUCAACCGGUGUAUUUUCACUGUGAAGUCAAUCUCUGACCCAAUUGAUGCUCACGAACCUCUGCAGCAUGGAUACUCGAACAGUGAGAGAGUUUAUGACUGCUUCUAAAUAGUGAAUACUGAUCAAUUGCUACUGCUUUUGAGUUCUUGUCUAAGGGCUAAUCUUAGAACUUUUUGGGAAAACAAUAAAGCUCUUAUUUUCAGCUGAUGAUGUAUCUGCAGUAAGCAGAUUUGUACGUAUUUAAGGAGUUAUAUUAUCCAUUUGAAGAUGAUAGUGGGCAAUACGAAACUUUUACUACUAAUGGGCAAUCUUUGAACAUAAUAGUGGGCAAUGUAGUGCGCAAGCUUUUGACUUCUUGUCAAGAUGAUGAAUUUUUGUUUGCUACUCCCUCCGUCCCUAUUAAU
Long non-coding RNA from Rhododendron vialii, 1867 nucleotides. RefSeq lists it as uncharacterized. The record is from RefSeq and is a predicted model, not a curated record. The transcript is spliced from 4 exons. Lineage: Eukaryota; Viridiplantae; Streptophyta; Magnoliopsida; Ericales; Ericaceae.